Molecule: unclassified non-coding RNA, 87 nt
Filed under: Pseudomonas sp. NFACC45
Lineage: Bacteria; Pseudomonadati; Pseudomonadota; Gammaproteobacteria; Pseudomonadales; Pseudomonadaceae
Source: RNAcentral
UGUGGGAGCGAGCCUGCUCGCGAUAGCGGCGUGUCAGGCAACGCAGGUGGCGACUGAUCCGCUAUCGCGAGCAGGCUCGCUCCCACA